CGAGAAUUAGUGCAGUUUGGUAGCACGCUUGCUUUGGGAGCAAGAAGUCGUAGGUUCAAAUCCUGCAUUCUCGA
This 74-nucleotide transfer RNA is filed under the name Caudoviricetes sp. Its description in RNAcentral is "tRNA-Pro". It matches the Rfam family "tRNA". From Rfam's summary of the family: Transfer RNA (tRNA) molecules are approximately 80 nucleotides in length. Their secondary structure includes four short double-helical elements and three loops (D, anti-codon, and T loops). The record is from RNAcentral. Lineage: Duplodnaviria; Heunggongvirae; Uroviricota; Caudoviricetes.